GCAGAUUACGUGCACCGACCACGCAGAAGACAUCAUCCAGCUGCGUGAAGAGCCACACACAGUCUAUGGGACCCCCUGGGAUCUCCAUCCCCAUCGGGGUUAUACAAGGGGAAAAUCGCUGUGUGGGAAAAGCACAAAAUUGAGAGUCAAACCCACUAGGACCGGAUUAUAUUUCUGCUACCCACCAGCUGCGCAGUCUUAGCUGAAGAUCAGUUAAACCGUCAGGGAAGACGGGCCUUUAGGUGGUCGGGGCCAGUGAAAGAGACUUGGGAGAUCUGAGCAAGAAACAGUCUUUUGCAAGAGACAAAAAGGAAGUAAAGCCCAAUUUCGCUGAAGGUGAACGGUCUCCGGAUGUGUGACUCUCCACUUCUCACCCUGAUUAUUGAAACCUGCAAUGCGUGAAGCUUCAGUUCCAGGAGAGCUGGAAACACUCCCUGAUCGUCUCUGUACCCAAAGUGCCUGCCUGGUACACAGUAGCAGCCUG
Molecule: long non-coding RNA, 484 nt
Organism: Camelus dromedarius (Arabian camel)
Lineage: Eukaryota; Metazoa; Chordata; Mammalia; Artiodactyla; Camelidae
Exons: 4
Source: RefSeq, a predicted model, not a curated record